This 216-nucleotide long non-coding RNA is filed under the name Zostera marina. RNAcentral describes it as "long non-coding RNA (ZMAR_LNC000638)". The record is from RNAcentral. Lineage: Eukaryota; Viridiplantae; Streptophyta; Magnoliopsida; Alismatales; Zosteraceae.
UUCUAUCGCUUCGGCAGGAGAUCGUCAAAUAUGAGCACGAUAAAUCUGUCGCUUCGGCCAGAUUUACCAAGGAUUGUUUCGAGCAAAAGGAGAAUGUCACGAGAGGUAAAAUCACACGGUAAGUUCAAUUGGUCAAUAAUAAUAUGCGUUUUAGACUGAUCCAGUUGUUUUGCAGGAUGUUUUCUUUUUUGCAGGAAUUAUUCUGUCGCUUCGGCC